RNAcentral lists this ribosomal RNA (498 nucleotides) under uncultured bacterium. RNAcentral describes it as "bacterial SSU rRNA". It matches the Rfam family "Bacterial small subunit ribosomal RNA", at positions 501 to 1000 of the family's 1533-position model. The record is from RNAcentral.
CUACGUGCCAGCAGCCGCGGUAAUACGGAGGGUGCGAGCGUUAAUCGGAAUAACUGGGCGUAAAGGGCACGCAGGCGGUGACUUAAGUGAGGUGUGAAAGCCCCGGGCUUAACCUGGGAAUUGCAUUUCAUACUGGGUCGCUAGAGUACUUUAGGGAGGGGUAGAAUUCCAUGUGUAGCGGUGAAAUGCGUAGAGAUGUGGAGGAAUACCGAAGGCGAAGGCAGCCCCUUGGGAAUGUACUGACGCUCAUGUGCGAAAGCGUGGGGAGCAAACAGGAUUAGAUACCCUGGUAGUCCACGCUGUAAACGAUGUCGAUUUGGGGGUUGAACUUUAGGUUUGGCGCCCGUAGCUAACGUGAUAAAUCGACCGCCUGGGGAGUACGGCCGCAAGGUUAAAACUCAAAUGAAUUGACGGGGGCCCGCACAAGCGGUGGAGCAUGUGGUUUAAUUCGAUGCAACGCGAAGAACCUUACCUACUCUUGACAUCCAGAGAACAUUC